CCUGCUCCUCUCCCUCCUGCCUUCCUUGGGAGGGAGCUGCUGGAAAGUUCCCUUGACUUUCACCAAAAGCUGUCGGUUGCCACGCCUUCCCUUUGUUCAUUGAGAAGGAGUCCUCAUCCAGUGGCUGAUGGAAGCAGAGGCAGACACCCACAGCUAUACACUGAACUGAACUCUGGAACCCAGUUGCAGAGAGGGAGAAACGAAGAUCAAGGGAGUCGGAACCAGGCUGGUAAAUCCCACAGAAACAGCUGGCCUGAACAAGGGGGAGCACAUGGACCCUAGACUGCUGUCUGGAAGACCAUCAAGGGACUGAUCCAGACCCCUGAAAGUGGAUGUCAACAAGGAGACCUCGGCAUCCUAUGAGGCCUCUGGUAGCGGAUCAGCAUUUUUCCCUGAUGUAAGAAGGGACUUUGAGAGCCCAUAUCACGUGAAGGGAUGCUCUCUCGGCCUGGACACAUGGGGGAGGGUCUAGGCUCUGCCCAGGAUGAUGUUAUGGAAUUUGGUGAGCCCCAUGGAGGGCCCUACCCACCC
Molecule: long non-coding RNA, 531 nt
Filed under: Cricetulus griseus (Chinese hamster)
Lineage: Eukaryota; Metazoa; Chordata; Mammalia; Rodentia; Cricetidae
Description: lncRNA (ENSCGRG00015030925.1)
Source: RNAcentral